Molecule: ribosomal RNA, 238 nt
Filed under: uncultured bacterium
Lineage: Bacteria
Description: partial 16S ribosomal RNA
Rfam family: Bacterial small subunit ribosomal RNA
Source: RNAcentral
CCGGCACGGGUGAGUAACACGUAUCCAACCUGCCGUCUACUCUUGGCCAGCCUUCUGAAAGGAAGAUUAAUCCAGGAUGGCAUCAUGAGUUCACAUGUCCGCAUGAUUAAAGGUAUUUUCCGGUAGACGAUGGGGAUGCGUUCCAUUAGAUAGUAGGCGGGGUAACGGCCCACCUAGUCAACGAUGGAUAGGGGUUCUGAGAGGAAGGCCCCCACAUUGGAACUGAGACACGGUCCAA